UGAGUUUUUGACGGCGGUGAGCGAGGAGGACAUUCGAGGCAGAGUUGCCAAAAGAUCGGAUGCUUUUGAGCAACAAUCGCUCCGUCUGUGCACGUUUGCACAUCGGCUGGCAACUGGACAUCCAUGUCUGAGCGUGGCCACGAAACCAGGACCUGCGCGUCAACCCCUCGUCACGGCUAGCGUCGUCCUCUACGAGCUUCGCAUCGAGCGUCCUAAACGCUCACCAGGCAUUUAUAUUUGCUUUGUUCAUUUUUCUGGAUGGUCUAGCUGGCGAGGGUGGCGCACGCCUUAGAGAAGUUAACUGUUUAUUCAGUUCCACUAGCUAGCGCUUACCAGGAUGUAUGCCUACAUCACAAGAUAACGUACAGUUAGUUUUGUUGCUUAGCUGUAAGCCCGAGGUUUUGUGGGCAUGGCGUGCGGCCACACGGGUCUUCUCCGUGCCGGAAUCGAAGAGGACGGGCCACGUGUGUCGCGUGAUGGGGUAUAGCUUCAGGUUUAGCUAUCGCGCAGGCUGUAGCUGAUAGCCGUCCUACUACGACUGCGUCAGGGACAUGGACCCAUCCGUAUGGCCUUGCGACCCGACCCCACUAUUUCGUGACAAGGUAGCCCGCGCGCGUCAGUGCUAUCGAGCGAAAUGUGGGCUCACGGAAGCAAACGUCAUUCGGAAACUGCCUCGCCAGCUAUCAUGUACUAACCCGCUCUACGCAGCACCUCGACGCCGGACGUCGCCUGCUGUGUUCGUCGGAGCCGGGCCGGGCAGCAGCUACGGUAAGCGGCCCGUUUCAUUGACGUUGUUGCUGUUCGUUUUUUCAGCGUGUGUGCUUACUGUUCUCGCUACUUUCCAGAGCGUCACUCGCACCGCCGCACACCGUGUUCCGUCGUCGGUGCGGACUUGUGGGCCUGGACUACUACGGGAUCCCGAGGUCCGCUUUCGAGAUUGCGGACCACGAGUAGAAAGGAUAUCCAGUGUGCUGCUCCACGUUUGCCAUCCUCCCAACGUCCCCCACCGGAGAUGGCCUCGAGCACCUCUUACCGUGGCUGACCGCGUUGGCUCCUUUGCAUUUCCACGUCCAUGGCGUCCUGCUGGCACGAGGGACUUCGUCUGCUACUACUGGUAAAUUUCGC
Molecule: long non-coding RNA, 1125 nt
Organism: Dermacentor andersoni
Lineage: Eukaryota; Metazoa; Arthropoda; Arachnida; Ixodida; Ixodidae
Source: RefSeq, a predicted model, not a curated record